Molecule: ribosomal RNA, 492 nt
Filed under: uncultured bacterium
Lineage: Bacteria
Description: partial 16S ribosomal RNA
Rfam family: Bacterial small subunit ribosomal RNA
Source: RNAcentral
AGUGAACGCUGGCGGUGGGCCUAACACAUGCAAGUCGAACGGCAGCACAGUAAGAGCUUGCUCUUACGGGUGGCGAGUGGCGGACGGGUGAGGAAUACAUCGGAAUCUGCUUUUUCGUGGGGGAUAACGUAGGGAAACUUACGCUAAUACCGCAUACGACCUACGGGUGAAAGCAGGGGAUCUUCGGACCUUGCGCGAUUGAAUGAGCCGAUGUCGGAUUAGCUAGUUGGCGGGGUAAAGGCCCACCAAGGCGACGAUCCGUAGCUGGUCUGAGAGGAUGAUCAGCCACACUGGAACUGAGACACGGUCCAGACUCCUACGGGAGGCAGCAGUGGGGAAUAUUGGACAAUGGGCGCAAGCCUGAUCCAGCCAUACCGCGUGGGUGAAGAAGGCCUUCGGGUUGUAAAGCCCUUUUGUUGGGAAAGAAAAGCAGCAGGUUAAUACCCCGCUGUUCUGACGGUACCCAAAGAAUAAGCACCGGCUAACUUCGUG